RNAcentral lists this unclassified non-coding RNA (253 nucleotides) under uncultured Bacteroidia bacterium. RNAcentral describes it as "contains 16S-23S intergenic spacer region". It matches the Rfam family "Bacterial small subunit ribosomal RNA", at positions 524 to 776 of the family's 1533-position model. Lineage: Bacteria; Pseudomonadati; Bacteroidota; Bacteroidia. The record is from RNAcentral.
UACGGAGGGUGCAAGCGUUGUCCGGAUUUAUUGGGUUUAAAGGGUGCGUAGGCGGGUCAGUAAGUCAGUGGUGAAAUCCUGCGGCUCAACCGUAGAACUGCCAUUGAUACUGUUGACCUUGAGUGCAACUGAGGUGGCUGGAAUGAGUGGUGUAGCGGUGAAAUGCAUAGAGAUCACUCAGAACACCAAUUGCGAAGGCAGGUCACUAAGUUGUAACUGACGCUGAGGUACGAAAGCGUGGGGAGCGAACAGG